RNAcentral lists this ribosomal RNA (497 nucleotides) under uncultured bacterium. RNAcentral describes it as "partial 16S ribosomal RNA". It matches the Rfam family "Bacterial small subunit ribosomal RNA", at positions 28 to 507 of the family's 1533-position model. The record is from RNAcentral.
GAUGAACGCUGGCGGCGUGCCUAACACAUGCAAGUCGAACGGACAGACGCGGCGUUUGCUCCUCUGACGUGUGGCGCGCGCGUGAGUGAAACAUGUGGAUAACCUCCCUAUAAGACGGGUAUCACUUGGAGAAAGCGGCGAUAAUACCGGAGAAGAUCUUGAACCACAGGGUGCAAUAGUGAAUUACGGCUUUGGGGUCACUUAUAGAUGGAUCCGCGCCGCAUUAGCUAGUUGGUAGGGUAACGGCCUACCAAGGCAACGAUGCGUAGCCGAGCUGAGAGGCUGAUCGGCCACACUGGAACUGAGACACGGACCAGACUCCUACGGGAGGCAGCAGUAGGGAAUGUUCGGCAAUGGGCGAAAGCCUGACGCAGCAAGGCCGCGUGUGUGACGACGGCCUUCGGAUCGUAAAGACCUGUUAUGAGGGAAGAACAACUGUGUCCUUAGACGUGCCGGUAUUGACGGUACCGGAUAAAGAAGCACCGGCUAACUACGUG